Molecule: ribosomal RNA, 2900 nt
Filed under: Escherichia coli MP021552.8
Lineage: Bacteria; Pseudomonadati; Pseudomonadota; Gammaproteobacteria; Enterobacterales; Enterobacteriaceae
Description: bacterial LSU rRNA
Rfam family: Bacterial large subunit ribosomal RNA
Source: RNAcentral
UAAGCGACUAAGCGUACACGGUGGAUGCCCUGGCAGUCAGAGGCGAUGAAGGACGUGCUAAUCUGCGAUAAGCGUCGGUAAGGUGAUAUGAACCGUUAUAACCGGCGAUUUCCGAAUGGGGAAACCCAGUGUGAUUCGUCACACUAUCAUUAACUGAAUCCAUAGGUUAAUGAGGCGAACCGGGGGAACUGAAACAUCUAAGUACCCCGAGGAAAAGAAAUCAACCGAGAUUCCCCCAGUAGCGGCGAGCGAACGGGGAGGAGCCCAGAGCCUGAAUCAGUGUGUGUGUUAGUGGAAGCGUCUGGAAAGGCGCGCGAUACAGGGUGACAGCCCCGUACACAAAAAUGCACAUGCUGUGAGCUCGAUGAGUAGGGCGGGACACGUGGUAUCCUGUCUGAAUAUGGGGGGACCAUCCUCCAAGGCUAAAUACUCCUGACUGACCGAUAGUGAACCAGUACCGUGAGGGAAAGGCGAAAAGAACCCCGGCGAGGGGAGUGAAAAAGAACCUGAAACCGUGUACGUACAAGCAGUGGGAGCACGCUUAGGCGUGUGACUGCGUACCUUUUGUAUAAUGGGUCAGCGACUUAUAUUCUGUAGCAAGGUUAACCGAAUAGGGGAGCCGAAGGGAAACCGAGUCUUAACUGGGCGUUAAGUUGCAGGGUAUAGACCCGAAACCCGGUGAUCUAGCCAUGGGCAGGUUGAAGGUUGGGUAACACUAACUGGAGGACCGAACCGACUAAUGUUGAAAAAUUAGCGGAUGACUUGUGGCUGGGGGUGAAAGGCCAAUCAAACCGGGAGAUAGCUGGUUCUCCCCGAAAGCUAUUUAGGUAGCGCCUCGUGAAUUCAUCUCCGGGGGUAGAGCACUGUUUCGGCAAGGGGGUCAUCCCGACUUACCAACCCGAUGCAAACUGCGAAUACCGGAGAAUGUUAUCACGGGAGACACACGGCGGGUGCUAACGUCCGUCGUGAAGAGGGAAACAACCCAGACCGCCAGCUAAGGUCCCAAAGUCAUGGUUAAGUGGGAAACGAUGUGGGAAGGCCCAGACAGCCAGGAUGUUGGCUUAGAAGCAGCCAUCAUUUAAAGAAAGCGUAAUAGCUCACUGGUCGAGUCGGCCUGCGCGGAAGAUGUAACGGGGCUAAACCAUGCACCGAAGCUGCGGCAGCGACGCUUAUGCGUUGUUGGGUAGGGGAGCGUUCUGUAAGCCUGUGAAGGUGUGCUGUGAGGCAUGCUGGAGGUAUCAGAAGUGCGAAUGCUGACAUAAGUAACGAUAAAGCGGGUGAAAAGCCCGCUCGCCGGAAGACCAAGGGUUCCUGUCCAACGUUAAUCGGGGCAGGGUGAGUCGACCCCUAAGGCGAGGCCGAAAGGCGUAGUCGAUGGGAAACAGGUUAAUAUUCCUGUACUUGGUGUUACUGCGAAGGGGGGACGGAGAAGGCUAUGUUGGCCGGGCGACGGUUGUCCCGGUUUAAGCGUGUAGGCUGGUUUUCCAGGCAAAUCCGGAAAAUCAAGGCUGAGGCGUGAUGACGAGGCACUACGGUGCUGAAGCAACAAAUGCCCUGCUUCCAGGAAAAGCCUCUAAGCAUCAGGUAACAUCAAAUCGUACCCCAAACCGACACAGGUGGUCAGGUAGAGAAUACCAAGGCGCUUGAGAGAACUCGGGUGAAGGAACUAGGCAAAAUGGUGCCGUAACUUCGGGAGAAGGCACGCUGAUAUGUAGGUGAAGUCCCUCGCGGAUGGAGCUGAAAUCAGUCGAAGAUACCAGCUGGCUGCAACUGUUUAUUAAAAACACAGCACUGUGCAAACACGAAAGUGGACGUAUACGGUGUGACGCCUGCCCGGUGCCGGAAGGUUAAUUGAUGGGGUCAGCGCAAGCGAAGCUCUUGAUCGAAGCCCCGGUAAACGGCGGCCGUAACUAUAACGGUCCUAAGGUAGCGAAAUUCCUUGUCGGGUAAGUUCCGACCUGCACGAAUGGCGUAAUGAUGGCCAGGCUGUCUCCACCCGAGACUCAGUGAAAUUGAACUCGCUGUGAAGAUGCAGUGUACCCGCGGCAAGACGGAAAGACCCCGUGAACCUUUACUAUAGCUUGACACUGAACAUUGAGCCUUGAUGUGUAGGAUAGGUGGGAGGCUUAGAAGUGUGGACGCCAGUCUGCAUGGAGCCGACCUUGAAAUACCACCCUUUAAUGUUUGAUGUUCUAACGUUGACCCGUAAUCCGGGUUGCGGACAGUGUCUGGUGGGUAGUUUGACUGGGGCGGUCUCCUCCUAAAGAGUAACGGAGGAGCACGAAGGUUGGCUAAUCCUGGUCGGACAUCAGGAGGUUAGUGCAAUGGCAUAAGCCAGCUUGACUGCGAGCGUGACGGCGCGAGCAGGUGCGAAAGCAGGUCAUAGUGAUCCGGUGGUUCUGAAUGGAAGGGCCAUCGCUCAACGGAUAAAAGGUACUCCGGGGAUAACAGGCUGAUACCGCCCAAGAGUUCAUAUCGACGGCGGUGUUUGGCACCUCGAUGUCGGCUCAUCACAUCCUGGGGCUGAAGUAGGUCCCAAGGGUAUGGCUGUUCGCCAUUUAAAGUGGUACGCGAGCUGGGUUUAGAACGUCGUGAGACAGUUCGGUCCCUAUCUGCCGUGGGCGCUGGAGAACUGAGGGGGGCUGCUCCUAGUACGAGAGGACCGGAGUGGACGCAUCACUGGUGUUCGGGUUGUCAUGCCAAUGGCACUGCCCGGUAGCUAAAUGCGGAAGAGAUAAGUGCUGAAAGCAUCUAAGCACGAAACUUGCCCCGAGAUGAGUUCUCCCUGACCCUUUAAGGGUCCUGAAGGAACGUUGAAGACGACGACGUUGAUAGGCCGGGUGUGUAAGCGCAGCGAUGCGUUGAGCUAACCGGUACUAAUGAACCGUGAGGCUUAACCU